Molecule: transfer RNA, 81 nt
Filed under: Treponema sp.
Lineage: Bacteria; Pseudomonadati; Spirochaetota; Spirochaetia; Treponematales; Treponemataceae
Description: tRNA-Leu
Rfam family: tRNA
About the family: Transfer RNA (tRNA) molecules are approximately 80 nucleotides in length. Their secondary structure includes four short double-helical elements and three loops (D, anti-codon, and T loops).
Source: RNAcentral
GCGAGAGUGGUGAAACUGGUAGACACGCCAGACUUAGGAUCUGGUGCCUUUGGCCUAAGGGUUCGAGUCCCUUCUCUCGCA